RNAcentral lists this ribosomal RNA (868 nucleotides) under Haematoloechus sp. Ha58_Georgia. RNAcentral's name for it is "partial 28S large subunit ribosomal RNA". It matches the Rfam family "Eukaryotic large subunit ribosomal RNA", at positions 108 to 629 of the family's 3401-position model. Lineage: Eukaryota; Metazoa; Platyhelminthes; Trematoda; Plagiorchiida; Haematoloechidae. The record is from RNAcentral.
CCCAGCACCGAAGCCUGUAGCCAUUUGGUUACUAGGCAAUGUGGUGUUCAGGUCGUUCCGCGGAGGUUCUGCUCCACCCUAAGUCCAUCAAUGAGUACGGUAUUAUGGACAUGGCCCACAGAGGGUGAAAGGCCCGUGGGGGUGGAGAUUCGGUAGGACAGAAUCUCUCUGGGUAGACCUUGGAGUCGGGUUGUUUGUGAAUGCAGCCCAAAGUGGGUGGUAAACUCCAUCCAAGGCUAAAUACUUGCACGAGUCCGAUAGCGAACAAGUACCGUGAGGGAAAGUUGAAAAGUACUUUGAAGAGAGAGUAAACAGUGCGUGAAACCGCUCAGAGGUAAACGGGUGGAGUUGAACUGCAAGCUCUGGGAAUUCAACUGGUGAGUGUGGUUUGAGCUUGGUCAAAUUGGUGGACAUUGGGGUCUGCGUAGUAGCAGGUCUUCGCCUUCGGGUGGGGAUGCGCGAUGCACUUAUCAAGUGUUGUGCGCCUCGGUGGUUUCCCGGCCAACUCGCUAGUGCACUUUCUCAGAGUGGUCACCACGACCGGCGCCGCUGUCUGGCCUCUAUGGUUAAACCGGUUUCGCAUAGUCCCUGUGGCUUUGCUUAGUCGGGAUGGCAGGUAGCUCGUUGACUUGCUUGUGGUUCGCUGCAAGUGUGGUUUUCGAGUGUAAUCAGCUGACUGUAGUGGUUCUGUGCAGUGUGUCGGAGACGGCGGCUUGAGGUGUGUGCAUGCGUAGUUGUUUUGCUGACUGGUUCGAGUUUGGUUAUUUUGUUGCCUGUUUAUGCAGGUCUGGUAGUAGCUCGGAUUAGUUCGGCUGGCGACUGCGUGUGUGGCAUUGUUCCAAGGGCCAACAGUCUGUGGUGUAGUGGU